UACGGAAGGGGCAAGCGUUGUUCGGAAUCAUUGGGCGUAAAGGGCGCGUAGGUGGUUCUGUAUGUCUACCGUGAAAGCGUACGGCUCAACCGUAUUUUGUCGGUAGAAACUGCAGGACUUGAGACUGGGAGGGGCUGGUGGAAUUCCCUGUGUAGCGGUGAAAUGCGUAGAGAUGGGGGAGAACACUCGUGGCGAAGGCGGCCAGCUAGACCAGUUCUGACACUGAGGCGCGACAGCGUGGGGAGCAAACAGG
Molecule: ribosomal RNA, 253 nt
Filed under: uncultured bacterium
Lineage: Bacteria
Description: partial 16S ribosomal RNA
Rfam family: Bacterial small subunit ribosomal RNA
Source: RNAcentral